GAUGAACGCUGGCGGCGUGCCUAAUACAUGCAAGUCGAGCGAACGGACGAGAAGCUUGCUUCUCUGAUGUUAGCGGAGGACGGGUGAGUAACACGUGGAUAACCUACCUAUAAGACUGGGAUAACUUCGGGAAACCGGAGCUAAUACCGGAUAAUAUUUUGAACCGCGUGGGUCAAAAGUGAAAGACGGUCUUGCUGUCACUUAUAGAUGGAUCCGCGCUGCAUUAGCUAGUUGGUAAGGUAACGGCUUACCAAGGCAACGAUGCAUAGCCGACCUGAGAGGGUGAUCGGCCACACUGGAACUGAGACACGGUCCAGACUCCUACGGGAGGCAGCAGUAGGGAAUCUUCCGCAAUGGGCGAAAGCCUGACGGAGCAACGCCGCGUGAGUGAUGAAGGUCUUCGGAUCGUAAAACUCUGUUAUUAGGGAAGAACAUAUGUGUAAGUAACUGUGCACAUCUUGACGGUACCUAAUCAGAAAGCCACGGCUAACUACGUG
This 497-nucleotide ribosomal RNA is filed under the name uncultured bacterium. RNAcentral's name for it is "partial 16S ribosomal RNA". It matches the Rfam family "Bacterial small subunit ribosomal RNA", at positions 28 to 507 of the family's 1533-position model. The record is from RNAcentral.